GGUUGUGGCUCAGUGGUAGAGCACUUGCCUGGCAUGGAUGAGGUACUGGUCAAUCCCCAGCAAUCA
This 66-nucleotide transfer RNA is filed under the name Marmota monax (woodchuck). RNAcentral describes it as "tRNA.Ala". The record is from RNAcentral. Lineage: Eukaryota; Metazoa; Chordata; Mammalia; Rodentia; Sciuridae.